Molecule: long non-coding RNA, 159 nt
Filed under: Felis catus (domestic cat)
Lineage: Eukaryota; Metazoa; Chordata; Mammalia; Carnivora; Felidae
Description: lncRNA (ENSFCAG00000051380.1)
Source: RNAcentral
UUCCCGUGCAGACACUACUGAUACAUUUUCAGAACCGAGCGACCAUGAAGGAAGACGAACCAUGAGCUCAAAAUCAUCAUUCCGGUCUGGGCGUCCUAAAACGCAGAAGUGGAAGGUUUCCAGUUACACCGGCAAGGAUAUGGCGAGAUCAGUCUUGGU